This 1475-nucleotide ribosomal RNA is filed under the name uncultured Bacillus sp. RNAcentral describes it as "bacterial SSU rRNA". It matches the Rfam family "Bacterial small subunit ribosomal RNA". The record is from RNAcentral. Lineage: Bacteria; Bacillati; Bacillota; Bacilli; Caryophanales; Bacillaceae.
GUGCUAUACAUGCAGUCGAGCGAAUUGUUGAGUUUACUCAACAGUUAGCGGCGGACGGGUGAGUAACACGUGGGCAACCUGCCUAUAAGACUGGGAUAACUUCGGGAAACCGGAGCUAAUACCGGAUAUGUUCUUUUCUCGCAUGAGAGAAGAUGGAAAGACGGCUUCUCGUUGUCCCUUAUAAAGGGGCCCGCGGGGCUUUACUUAGUGGGGGAGGUAAGGGUUCACCAAGGCACCAAUGCGUACCCAACCUGAAAGGGGGAUCGGCCACCCUGGGACUGAAACACGGCCCAAAUUCCUACGGAAGGCAGCAGUAGGAAAUCUUCCGCAUGGAACAAAAGUCUGACGAACCACCGCCGCGGGAACAAUGAAGGUUUUCGGGUCGUAAAGUUCUGUUGUUAGGGAAAAACAAGUACCAAAGUACCGGCUGGUACCUUGACGGUCCCUAACCAGAAAGCCACGGUUAACUACUGGCCAGCAGCCGCGGUAAUACGUAGGUGGCAAGCGUUAUCCGGAAUUAUUGGGCGUAAAGCGCGCGCAGGUGGUUCCUUAAGUCUGAUGUGAAAGCCCCCGGCUCAACCGGGGAGGGUCAUUGGAAACUGGGGAACUUGAGUGUAGAAGAGGAAAGUGGAAUUCCACGUGUAGCGGUGAAAUGCGUAGAGAUGUGGAGGAACACCAGUGGCGAAGGCGACUUUCUGGUCUAUAACUGACACUGAGGCGCGAAAGCGUGGGGAGCAAACAGGAUUAGAUACCCUGGUAGUCCACGCCGUAACCGAUGAGUGCUAGGUGUUAGAGGGUUUCCGCCCUUUAGUGCUGCAGCUAACGCAUUAAGCACUCCGCCUGGGGAGUACGGCCGCAAGGCUGAAACUCAAAUGAAUUGACGGGGGCCCGCACAAGCGGUGGAGCAUGUGGUUUAAUUCGAAGCAACGCGAAGAACCUUACCAGGUCUUGACAUCCUCUGACACUCCUAGAGAUAGGACGUUCCCCUUCGGGGGACAGAGUGACAGGUGGUGCAUGGUUGUCGUCAGCUCGUGUCGUGAGAUGUUGGGUUAAGUCCCGCAACGAGCGCAACCCUUGAUCUUAGUUGCCAGCAUUCAGUUGGGCACUCUAAGGUGACUGCCGGUGAUAAACCGGAGGAAGGUGGGGAUGACGUCAAAUCAUCAUGCCCCUUAUGACCUGGGCUACACACGUGCUACAAUGGAUGGUACAAAGAGCUGCAAACUCGCGAGGGUAAGCGAAUCUCAUAAAGCCAUUCUCAGUUCGGAUUGCAGGCUGCAACUCGCCUGCAUGAAGCCGGAAUCGCUAGUAAUCGCGGAUCAGCAUGCCGCGGUGAAUACGUUCCCGGGCCUUGUACACACCGCCCGUCACACCACGAGAGUUUGUAACACCCGAAGUCGGUGAGGUAACCGCAAGGAGCCAGCCGCCUAAGGUGGGACAGAUGAUUGGGGUGAAGUCGUAACAGGGUAAACCGAAAA